CAUUUACCUAGAGCAUUUUAGUUUCAAGGGAAAUAAUUGUGGUCCGACUGUAUUAUUUCAAAAAUCACAUUUGAGAUUUUUUUACUUGCACACCGGUAUAGUUUUUGCGGGGAAGCGAAAGUUGCUGGAAUUUUGUCUUCCUCUAAAAACAAGUGUCUGAUACAUGUAGUUGCAGUCUGUCUUUGGAAGCUGUUGAAGUAACAAGAAAGAGGCUACAUUGACAUCCUGUUUUGGUAGGGAGAAGUUUGAGUAUGUACAGUUGUUUGACCUGUCUUACCAUGUGGCAGUCCCAGAAGAUGUUACCAUUAUGAAUAAAUGCAGGGGAACUUGAAGACAAUGGUUAGUACAGAAAGGACAUAAAAGUAAUGUGAAAGUAACAGAUAUAAAUAAGAAGUGCUACAAGUGUGUUGUCAUGUGAAAAGGACUUUACCUCAACUGUGCUGCAUGAUGUAUAGUCAAGAGAGAGACAGCCAUGCACCAUCUGUAAACUGAGAUGGACCCACACAUGAAAUAUGUUUUUGGUGGAGACUGACCCAGUCAGCAACUUAUACUGUCUGCGAGUCAUUUCUUGUGUGUUAUAGUUUUCUUAAUAAUGCAUAAAAUAUCAAAAUAAUGGUUAGAUGAACUUAUUCAUCACUUGUACAUUAAUGUUAAAGUAGUUCAACAUUUUACCAUAACUUAAUUAAUAUUCUAUUAACCAGAUUUGUCACAUAUUUUCAUAUAAACAUUUGUAUAAUACAGUCUAAUCUAAUCCAGAAAUGAUGUUCCACAAUUUUGUAGUUAUACUUUAUUUUGUUUUGAUGUCUCAACAUAUAAUUACUAACAUCAACAAAACUUAGAUAUUUUACAAUUUGGUUGGUAUAUAUGGUUGUUUUGUUGAUAUGUUUUAUUUAUUUCCAUCCAGGGGAAUAAAGAAAUAUACAUUUUAAAAUAUCUCAUCAUUCCAGAUAAGUACACUACAUAAUCAAGAUAAAAGAAAUAAGAAAAAUUAUGUUGGUGGAAUUUUAUUUUAAAAAAUUGAUAUACAGUCUUUGUAGUAUUUACUUCUUAAGUUAUGUUGGACUGAAAUGGGAAUAACAACAUACUUUAAAUUUUUGUAGUCGUAAGUUUGGGGAUUAUUAACUUGAAAAAGAUUUUAUCUCGCUGUUAUGCCAUCUGAGCUUUAAUAUUUUUCAACAUUGUCAUUGGCAACAAGGCUAAACAUUAUUUCUUUUGUAUACCUUGCAUUCAUGUGUGAUAAAUGAUUUUAUGGUAUUCUUUAAUAUGAUAUAUGCUUUUCAUCUAACCAUGGAUUAAAAAAAUAUAUAUUUAUUUGUCUGAAAAUUAAGGUAAAAAUACUGACUGAUUAAAUUGCAAUAUAAGAAGGCUUAUAUGAGAUAAAGGAAGGUAAUUCCAUAAAAAAAAUGUAGAAUGUAGAUGAUAAAUAUAAUGAA
Molecule: long non-coding RNA, 1433 nt
Organism: Mercenaria mercenaria
Lineage: Eukaryota; Metazoa; Mollusca; Bivalvia; Venerida; Veneridae
Exons: 5
Source: RefSeq, a predicted model, not a curated record